AGUCGAACGGAAUCUUCGGAUUUAGUGGCGGACGGGUGAGUAACGCGUGAGAAUCUGCCUUUAGGUUCGGGACAACAGUUGGAAACGACUGCUAAUACCGAAUGUGUCGCAAGAUAAAGGAUUUAUUGCCUAAAGAUGAGCUCGCGUCUGAUUAGCUAGUUGGUGGGGUAAAAGCGUACCAAGGCGACGAUCAGUAGCUGGUCUGAGAGGAUGAUCAGCCACACUGGGACUGAGACACGGCCCAGACUCCUACGGGAGACAGCAGUGGGGAAUUUUCCGCAAUGGGCGAAAGCCUGACGGAGCAACGCCGCGUGAGGGAGGAAGGCUUUUGGGUUGUAAACCUCUUUUCUCAAGGAAGAUAGUGACGGUACUUGAGGAAUCAGCAUCGGCUAACUCCGUGCCAGCAGCCGCGGUAAUACGGAGGAUGCAAGCGUUAUCCGGAAUAAUUGGGCGUAAAGCGUUCGUAGGUGGUUUUGUAAGUCUGCUGUUAAAGCGUGUAGCUCAACUACAUAUAGGCAGUGGAAACUACAAAACUUGAGUGCGUUCGGGGCAGAGGGAAUUCCUGGUGUAGCGGUGAAAUGCGUAGAGAUCAGGAAGAACACCGGUGGCGAAGGCGCUCUGCUAGGCCGCAACUGACACUGAGGGACGAAAGCUAGGGGAGCGAAUGGGAUUAGAUACCCCAGUAGUCCUAGCUGUAAACGAUGGAUACUAGGCGUUGUCUGUAUCGACCCGGACAGUGCCGUAGCUAACGCGUUAAGUAUCCCGCCUGGGGAGUACGCACGCAAGUGUGAAACUCAAAGGAAUUGACGGGGGCCCGCACAAGCGGUGGAGUAUGUGGUUUAAUUCGAUGCAACGCGAAGAACCUUACCAAGGCUUGACAUGUCCGGAACUUCUGGGAAACUAGAAGGUGCCUUCGGGAGCCGGAACACAGGUGGUGCAUGGCUGUCGUCAGCUCGUGUCGUGAGAUGUUGGGUUAAGUCCCGCAACGAGCGCAACCCUCGUCUUUAGUUGCCAGCACUUAGGGUGGGCACUCUAGAGAGACUGCCGGUGACAAACCGGAGGAAGGUGGGGAUGACGUCAAGUCAUCAUGCCCCUUACGUCUUGGGCUACACACGUACUACAAUGCUAUGGACAAAGAGCAGCCAGCCAGCGAUGGUGCGCUAAUCUCAUAAACCAUGGCUCAGUUCAGAUUGCAGGCUGCAACUCGCCUGCAUGAAGUAGGAAUCGCUAGUAAUUGCAGGUCAGCAUACUGCAGUGAAUUCGUUCCCGGGCCUUGUACACACCGCCCGUCACACCAUGGAAGUUGGUCACGCCCGAAGUCGUUACCCUAACCUUUUUGGAGGGGGACGCCGAAGGUAGGACUGAUGACUGGGGUGAAGUCGUAACAAGGUAGCCGUACCGGAAGGUGUGGCUGGAUCACCUCCUUUUUAGGGAGACCUACCCACUCAUACACCGAGCAUUGAUAUAGGUGAUGAUUGUGGUCAUCCCAAGGUCGUUCGUAGAUUUGGUAAUAUUGUGGCUUUCAAACAAUUAUAGGUUCGGUAUUAUGUUCGUACCUAUGGGCUAUUAGCUCAGGUGGUUAGAGCGCACCCCUGAUAAGGGUGAGGUCCCUGGUUCGAGUCCAGGAUGGCCCACCUGAACAAGUAAAAAGUCAAAAGUAAAGAAUUUAUUUCUUUGAAUUUUGACUUCUAACUUUUGAAUUGUUUUUGGGGGGUAUAGCUCAGUUGGUAGAGCGCUGCCUUUGCAAGGCAGAUGUCAGCGGUUCGAGUCCGCUUACCUCCACCAAAUUCACGAUAAAUAUUAAUAUUGGAAAAUUUCAGCACCCAGACUUACAUAAUAUAAGAUUAAAAGAGUCGGAAUGCUGGAUUGUAAUCCAGUCAGAACCUUGAAAACUGCAUAUUCACGCGAUAGAUAAUUGUUGUAGGUAGUACUUAAUUUAUGAACUAUUAAUGUAGUGAGUGAAUUAGGUGUGAAUCCAACAAAUCCUAUUUUGUAAUUUUUGAUUGUAUUGGAAUCAAUGU
This 2021-nucleotide ribosomal RNA is filed under the name uncultured Kyrtuthrix sp. RNAcentral's name for it is "bacterial SSU rRNA". The stretch from base 1 to 1427 matches the Rfam family "Bacterial small subunit ribosomal RNA". Lineage: Bacteria; Bacillati; Cyanobacteriota; Cyanophyceae; Nostocales; Rivulariaceae. The record is from RNAcentral.